Molecule: ribosomal RNA, 302 nt
Filed under: Salmonella enterica subsp. enterica serovar Alachua
Lineage: Bacteria; Pseudomonadati; Pseudomonadota; Gammaproteobacteria; Enterobacterales; Enterobacteriaceae
Description: partial 23S ribosomal RNA
Rfam family: Bacterial large subunit ribosomal RNA
Source: RNAcentral
GGGUUAAUAUUCCCAUACUUCUGUGUAAUGCGAUGAGAGGACGGAGAAGGUUAAGUCAGCCUGGCGUUGGUAGUCCAGGUGAAAGACAGUAGGCAUGCAUCUUAGGCAAAUCCGGGGUGCUCUAUGCUGAGAGUCGAUAUCAAGCUGUACUUGUAUAGUGAAGUGGCUGAUACCAUACUUCCAAGAAAAGUCUCUAAGCUUCAGUUACACAGGAAUCGUACCCGAAACCGACACAGGUGGUCAGGUCGAGUAGACCAAGGCGCUUGAGAGAACUCUGCUGAAGGAACUAGGCAAAAUGGUAC